This 27-nucleotide ribosomal RNA is filed under the name Hesperocyparis arizonica. RNAcentral describes it as "partial 18S ribosomal RNA". The record is from RNAcentral. Lineage: Eukaryota; Viridiplantae; Streptophyta; Pinopsida; Cupressales; Cupressaceae.
UGAUAGGUGAACUGCGGUAGGAUCAUU